CCUACGGGUGGCUGCAGUCGAGAAUCAUUCACAAUGGGGGAAACCCUGAUGGUGCGACGCCGCGUGGGGGAAUGAAGGUCUUCGGAUUGUAAACCCCUGUCAUGUGGGAGCAAAUUAAAAAGAUAGUACCACAAGAGGAAGAGACGGCUAACUCUGUGCCAGCAGCCGCGGUAAUACAGAGGUCUCAAGCGUUGUUCGGAAUCACUGGGCGUAAAGCGUGCGUAGGCUGUUUCGUAAGUCGUGUGUGAAAGGCGCGGGCUCAACCCGCGGACGGCACAUGAUACUGCGAGACUAGAGUAAGGGAGGGGGAACCGGAAUUCUCGGUGUAGCAGUGAAAUGCGUAGAUAUCGAGAGGAACACUCGGGGCGAAGGCGGGUUCCUGGACAUUAACUGACGCUGAGGCACGAAGGCCAGGGGAGCGAAAGGGAUUAGAUACCCCGGUAGUC
This 446-nucleotide ribosomal RNA is filed under the name uncultured bacterium. Its description in RNAcentral is "partial 16S ribosomal RNA". It matches the Rfam family "Bacterial small subunit ribosomal RNA", at positions 338 to 795 of the family's 1533-position model. The record is from RNAcentral.